This 424-nucleotide ribosomal RNA is filed under the name Verrucomicrobiota bacterium. Its description in RNAcentral is "Verrucomicrobia bacterium partial 16S ribosomal RNA". It matches the Rfam family "Bacterial small subunit ribosomal RNA", at positions 355 to 776 of the family's 1533-position model. The record is from RNAcentral. Lineage: Bacteria; Pseudomonadati; Verrucomicrobiota.
UGAGGAAUAUUGGUCAAUGGACGGAAGUCUGAACCAGCCAAGUAGCGUGCAGGAUGACGGCCCUAUGGGUUGUAAACUGCUUUUAUAUGGGAAUAAAGUGAGGGACGUGUCCCUUAUUGCAUGUACCAUACGAAUAAGGACCGGCUAAUUCCGUGCCAGCAGCCGCGGUAAUACGGAAGGUCCAGGCGUUAUCCGGAUUUAUUGGGUUUAAAGGGAGCGUAGGCUGUUUGUUAAGCGUGUUGUGAAAUGUAAGAGCUCAACUUUUAGAUUGCAGCGCGAACUGGCAGACUUGAGUGCGCACAACGUAGGCGGAAUUCAUGGUGUAGCGGUGAAAUGCUUAGAUAUCAUGACGAACUCCGAUUGCGAAGGCAGCUUACGGGAGCGCAACUGACGCUAAAGCUCGAAGGUGCGGGUAUCGAACAGG